RNAcentral lists this ribosomal RNA (367 nucleotides) under Geinula sp. BMNH 846542. Its description in RNAcentral is "partial 16S ribosomal RNA". The record is from RNAcentral. Lineage: Eukaryota; Metazoa; Arthropoda; Insecta; Coleoptera; Chrysomelidae.
UUGAAUGGCCGCGGUAUUUUGACCGUGCUAAGGUAGCAUAAUCAUUAGUUUUUUAAUUGAAAGCUGGAAUGAAGGGCUGAAUGAAAAAAAGACUGUCUCUUUUAAAUUAUUUUAAAAUUUUAUUUUUAAGUUAAAAAGCUUAAAUUAUAUUAAAAGACGAGAAGACCCUAUAGAGUUUUAUAUUUUUAAUUCUAUAAAAAUUUUAGUAUUAAAUUUUUUAUUUUUUAAAAUUAUUUAAUUGGGGUGAUUAAAAAAUUAUAUUAACUUUUUUUAUAUUUUUAUAUUAAUUAAUAAAUAAUUGAUCCAAAAAUUUUGAUUAUAAGAUUAAAUUACCUUAGGGAUAACAGCGUAAUUUUAUUAGAGAGUU